AUUGAACGCUGGCGGCAUGCCUUACACAUGCAAGUCGAACGGCAGCGCGGGAGCAAUCCUGGCGGCGAGUGGCGGACGGGUGAGUAAUACAUCGGAACGUGCCCAAUCGUGGGGGAUAACGCAGCGAAAGCUGUCCUAAUACCGCAUACGAUCUACGGAUGAAAGCAGGGGAUCGCAAGACCUUGCGCGAAUGGAGCGGCCGAUGGCAGAUUAGGUAGUUGGUUAGGUAAGGGCUCACCAAGCCUGCGAUCUGUAGCUGGUCUGAGAGGACGACCAGCCACACUGGAACUGAGACACGGCCCAGACUCCUACGGGAGGCAGCAGUGGGGAAUUUUGGACAAUGGGCGAAAGCCUGAUCCAGCCAUGCCGCGUGCAGGAUGAAGGCCUUCGGGUUGUAAAAUGCUUUUGUACGGAACGAAACGGUCUUUUCUAAUAUAGAAGGCUAAUGACGGUACCGUAAGAAUAAGCACCGGCUAACUACGUG
RNAcentral lists this ribosomal RNA (484 nucleotides) under uncultured bacterium. RNAcentral describes it as "partial 16S ribosomal RNA". It matches the Rfam family "Bacterial small subunit ribosomal RNA", at positions 30 to 507 of the family's 1533-position model. The record is from RNAcentral.